RNAcentral lists this ribosomal RNA (497 nucleotides) under uncultured bacterium. RNAcentral describes it as "partial 16S ribosomal RNA". It matches the Rfam family "Bacterial small subunit ribosomal RNA", at positions 34 to 507 of the family's 1533-position model. The record is from RNAcentral.
UCCGCCCGCUGGCGGCGUGCCUAAUACAUGCAAGUUGAGCGCUGAAGGUUGGUACUUGUACCAACUGGAUGAGCAGCGAACGGGUGAGUAACGCGUGGGGAAUCUGCCUUUGAGCGGGGGACAACAUUUGGAAACGAAUGCUAAUACCGCAUAAAAACUUUAAACACAAGUUUUAAGUUUGAAAGAUGCAAUUGCAUCACUCAAAGAUGAUCCCGCGUUGUAUUAGCUAGUUGGUGAGGUAAAGGCUCACCAAGGCGAUGAUACAUAGCCGACCUGAGAGGGUGAUCGGCCACAUUGGGACUGAGACACGGCCCAAACGCCUACGGGAGGCAGCAGUAGGGAAUCUUCGGCAAUGGACGAAAGUCUGACCGAGCAACGCCGCGUGAGUGAAGAAGGGUUUCGGAUCGUAAAACUCGGUUGGUAGAGAAGAACGUUGGUGAGAGUGGAAAGCUCAUCAAGUGACGGUAACUACCCAGAAAGGGACGGCUAACUACGUG